UGGGUGACCUGCAGACUGUCGAGAUGUUAAUGCCCAUCAAGUUCCAAAGCAAGUAGAAGCAUGGAGGGGUAAUCUUUAACAGAGAUAAAAGCAGGCUUUCCUGUACAAGAAUUUCUUUAAGUGAGUGAUGGUGGUAUUGGCACACUUUGUUGUUUCUGGUAGGAUAAGAAGGACAGGGAUGCCCAUCAAUAAUUUAGAGCUAAUGCCAAAACAUAGAAAGAGAAGUUG
Molecule: unclassified non-coding RNA, 228 nt
Filed under: Hevea brasiliensis (rubber tree)
Lineage: Eukaryota; Viridiplantae; Streptophyta; Magnoliopsida; Malpighiales; Euphorbiaceae
Source: RNAcentral